RNAcentral lists this unclassified non-coding RNA (3627 nucleotides) under Hevea brasiliensis (rubber tree). The record is from RNAcentral. Lineage: Eukaryota; Viridiplantae; Streptophyta; Magnoliopsida; Malpighiales; Euphorbiaceae.
AAUUAAAAGAAAUUUAAAUAAACGAGGUAAUGGGUCCACAUCUUUCAGUGACAAACUCCAAAACUUAGAAUCCUUUCCCAGCUUAUUCAGCGAUGCUAGAGAUUAGAAAAGCAUUCUUUUAUGUGCAUUCAAUAUAUUAACCAAGAUUGUCCAAAAUGCCAACGGGACUGGCAUCUUCCAAAUUAAUGAGUGGAGAAGAAAAGAGACGAGGGAAGAAGAUGCAUCCUCAUCCUCUUAUAAAACAAACCGACCAAACUCUGUUGAAACCGAUAAGCCAAUUCAUAAUUAGUUGUGUGCAGUGUCGAAAAGCUUCUGAUAUGAUAUCAUUACAUAUCAAUUCAGCAUAAAGGUCAAGAAAUGCCAAGUUUUUGAAGAUGAUAUUUGCACGUCCGUUGAAUUUUACAGUUUCCUUUAGUUCUGUACGGUGAAACUUGCAAAUUAACUUAACAAAAACCCAUUUACACAGCCCUAAAAUUUUCCACCUGCUAAGCUGGAACAACCGGCGGUUCCAAGUUUGAUGAUCCAUCAUCCUCCAAGGUUCCACCCUUCGUUGUUUCUUUGGACUCCUUGUCAUCUUCUUGAAAUCCUUCCUUGAAUCUAUCAUAAUUUGUGGGCUCACUUGACUUGAAUGGACGUUCGCCCAGGACCCUAACCAAGUCAUCUUGAUGAAGGACCUCCUUCUCAAGCAACAGCUCUGCAAUCUGAGCCACUUGCUCCUUGUGUUCCUCUAUCAACUGAACAGUGCGUUCAUAUGCUAUGGCCACCCAUUCUCUUACUUCAUUAUCUAUAAUUGCACCUGUCUUGCUACUAUAGGGUUUAGUCAUCUCAAAUGUAUCAUCCCUCUGGGGAAAGGAUAAAAGACCCACUUUGUUGCUGAAACCAUAAACUGCUACCUGGGCAUAAGUCAUUUUUGUUACUUUCUCCAAGUCAUUCUGCGCGCCGGUUGAAAUCUUCCCUAGCAAAACCUGCUCAGCAGCUCGACCACCAAGUGUCAUGCAGGUCAUAUCAAAUAGCUGCUCUUUGGUCAUCAAAAGAUUUUCAUUGGGAACAUACUGAGCAAAUCCUAGUGCAGCAGUACCACGUGGAACAAUUGUCACUUUCAAAAGGGGUUCUGCGUGUUCCAAGAACCAUCCAGUAACAGCAUGGCCUGAUUCAUGAUAAGCAACAGUCCGGCGUUCCUGCUUGCUAAUUACCUUGUUCUUCUUCUCCAAACCACCAAUGAUUCUAUCUAUUGCUGCCUCAAAAUGUUCCAUUGUGAUCUGUGACCCUUCAUUCCUAGCAGCAAUUAGAGCAGCUUCAUUACAUACAUUUGCAAUAUCUGCCCCAGCAAAUCCAGGAGUGAGGGCUGCAAGCCUUUGAGAGUAAUAUGAUGGCUCAUGAUCGAGUUUUAUUUUUUUCAAGUAGAUAUUAAAAAUCUGUUCACGGCCUUUAAUAUCAGGUUUAUCAAUGGAAAUUUGGCGAUCAAAUCGGCCCGGCCUCAACAAAGCCUUGUCUAAAAUGUCUGGCCUAUUAGUGCCAGCAAGAACAACAACACCAGAAGUAGUUCCAAAGCCAUCCAUUUCUACCAACAACUGAUUAAGGGUGCUUUCCCGCUCAUCAUUGGAACCUGAGAAGCCCCCACGCCCCCUCGCUCUGCCAAUUGCAUCAAUCUCGUCAAUAAAUAUAAUACUAGGAGCACACUGCCUUGCUUCUUGAAACAAAUUUCUCACUCUAGAAGGUCCAACGCCAACAAACAUCUCCAUGAAAUCUGAACCAGAAAUGGACAGGAAAGGCACGCCAGAUUCUCCUGCAGUUGCCUUUGCUAGAAGGGUCUUUCCAGUCCCUGGAGGACCUACCAAAAGGGCACCUUUAGGAAUUUUAGCUCCCAAUUCCUCGUACUUCUUUGGGUUCUUGAGGAAGUGCACAAACUCCAUGAUUUCUUGUUUUGCCUCAUCACAACCAGCAACAUCUUUAAAGUAAACCUUAUUUUUAGCAUUUUUAUCCACUUUGGUUACAUGGGCCUUCCCUAUGUUGAAUAUUCCACGACCACCCUUACCACCACCACCACCAACACCUAAUCCACCUUGCAUUCUCCGUCCCAUGUACAUAAGGGUUCCCAAAAGCAAGAGUGUUGGUGCAAACCUCAUUAAUUCUUGGUACCAAACCAUUUCAGAUACAUACGUAACAGGAACAUGGUCAUGAGGAUCUAUCCCUAGUGCUUCUUGGGCUUCCUCUAACUUCUCCUCAAAAGAUUCAACACUUCCAAUAUUGAAGUAGUAUUUAUAUUGGCCCCCAUGUCCUCUAGCAGGGGCACCAUUAAUGGGACCUUGCACAACAUCGUCACUAGUUUGAUUCUGAGGUGAGCUCCUUACAUACACUUUAGCAACUGAUUUAUUGGAAACAACUAUAUGGUCAACCAAACCUGGUUCCAGAAGCUUGUUUUUGAAUUCUUGGAAACUAAUCUGCCAAGAACAAAAUUGAAAAGCACCUGAGAGAAAGAGUAGCUCAAGAAGUGAUAUGCACAUCUACCAUCUGUCUAACAGCAAGGAUGUUUUGUAUAUUCUUUAUUUUGUACCAGCCCAGUAAUAGUGAGUUAAGUCAUUAAUUAUUUUUUGCAAAUUUAACUCACUCUAUAGGCUUAUUACAUUAAUGUCUUAAACAAGGCAAAUCACUAUCAAAUACAGUAUCUUGAAAUAGAAGCAUAUAGAAACAUUGUUUCAUAAGAUUUCAUAAAAUUUUAGAGCUGCUUGUGAGAACAAAAAUCUAAAAGUGCAAAGUGGAUGAAAAUGAGCACGUUGUUGCAUAUAUAAAGAGGCAGAAGAAAUCAGAGUUUGGCACUUUGCCCAGCUUAAGAUAGUUCAAAUUCUGACUUAAAUUCCCUAUCAUUAUUUACUUCUGUAAACCAUACCCAAAAAAUAAGAAGCUGUUAGCAUGCUAACAGUUAUAUUCAUUAAAUUAAAGAUGAAGUGAAGCACACAAUUAAAACAUUGUAGGAAAGAAAAUCAGAUUGUUUACCUGUUGCUGUUCAGUAGGACCAAAAGAGAAAGAAGAAAGAAGUAUCCCAAUCACUAGUAAAGGGGUAAGUAAAUUGAAUUGCUUAAUGAAUGUUUUCUGAAAGUUCCAGUCAUCAUCCGCAUUUGAAUCAUCUUUGGAUUCAGAUUUCUGCUCAUUCCCUUUCGGGACUUCCUUCUUUUCCUUGGGAUAGAAGUUCUCAUAAUUCUUCUUCUUAGGAGCUUCGCUGGAGAAAAAGCGUAGAAUUCUAGGGUUAGCAAGAAGGUAAUUCAAAUCGGAUAAAGUAGAUUUAGAGACAAACUCCUUAUGAGCUCCAAUUGAAGCUAAAUAUCCUCUCACAAACCCUAAUCCUCCAUCGAAUCUAUCUACAUGCCCAACUCCACCUGCUCCUCCAGCCACUCUCGAAAUCGCCGAUCUCCCACCACCACCACCACGCAACACAUUAGCAGAACGAGAAGAUCGAGCAAAUGAACGAUUGAGCUUAGAAAAAAUCAUGAUAUGAAUAGUUAAUGGUAUUUUAGUAGAAGUAUGAAAUCGAGGAGUUUGGUUUUAUGGAUUUUAAAGGGAGGGAAAUUUGAGGUCAAAGCGUUAGCUUCGCAAUGUAAACUUGGGAAACAAGAUACAGCCAGCCCACAG